This 300-nucleotide long non-coding RNA is filed under the name Drosophila guanche. Lineage: Eukaryota; Metazoa; Arthropoda; Insecta; Diptera; Drosophilidae. The record is from RNAcentral.
UUAUUAGUGAUAUGUUCGCACCUGUAUCUACUAGGAAUGUUAGAUGUUUUUCUGUCUUGGCAUUGUCAAAUGACACGAAUAUGUUGAGAUUGAGAUUGAUGGUUUGAAGCUUUGCUUUUAAAAAUUUGGAGUAUCUGAAGGAGUUUGGGAGUUUCCCGAAGCCGUCUGGGUAACACGGACAUUAUUGUUGUGUCUUGUGUUCCCAUUUCUGACGUAAUUUUGGUUGUUAUGGGAUGUUCCGUUACCACGGUUAUUUCCUCUAUAAGUACCACGACCUCUAUAAUUUGACUGAUAGUUACU